RNAcentral lists this ribosomal RNA (496 nucleotides) under uncultured bacterium. Its description in RNAcentral is "partial 16S ribosomal RNA". It matches the Rfam family "Bacterial small subunit ribosomal RNA", at positions 29 to 507 of the family's 1533-position model. The record is from RNAcentral.
AUGAACGCUGGCGGCGUGCCUAAUACAUGCAAGUCGAGCGAACGGACGAGAAGCUUGUUUUUCUGAUGUUAGCGGCGGACGGGUGAGUAACACGUGGAUAACCUACCUAUAAGACUGGGAUAACUUCGGGAAACCGGAGCUAAUACCGGAUAAUAUUUUGAACCGCAUGGUUCAAAAGUGAAAGACGGUCUUGCUGUCACUUAUAGAUGGAUCCGCGCUGCAUUAGCUAGUUGGUAAGGUAACGGCUUACCAAGGCAACGAUGCAUAGCCGACCUGAGAGGGUGAUCGGCCACACUGGAACUGGGACACGGUCCAGACUCCUACGGGAGGCAGCAGUAGGGAAUCUUCCGCAAUGGGCGAAAGCCUGACGGAGCAACGCCGCGUGAGUGAUGAAGGUCUUCGGAUCGUAAAACUCUGUUAUUAGGGAAGAACAUAUGUGUAAGUAACUGUGCACAUCUUGACGGUACCUAAUCAGAAAGCCACGGCUAACUACGUG